This 190-nucleotide non-coding RNA is filed under the name Romboutsia lituseburensis. RNAcentral describes it as "T-box". It matches the Rfam family "T-box leader". From Rfam's summary of the family: Uncharged tRNA acts as the effector for transcription antitermination of genes in the T-box leader family. The record is from RNAcentral. Lineage: Bacteria; Bacillati; Bacillota; Clostridia; Peptostreptococcales; Peptostreptococcaceae.
AAUAGACUAGAGUAGUAAAAGAUCUAUAUUUUUUCAGAGAGCUAGUGGUGCUGUAAACUAGUAAAAUAUAACUUUGAACUUGCUAGAUAAAUAUCUAUUUAGCCGUAGUUGGCAUAAAGACUAACUAAGAGAGUCUAUUAUUAGACUAAUUAGGGUGGUACCGCGAGAAAAUAUAAUCCUCGUCCCUAAA